This 546-nucleotide ribosomal RNA is filed under the name Triticum aestivum (bread wheat). Its description in RNAcentral is "partial small subunit ribosomal RNA". The record is from RNAcentral. Lineage: Eukaryota; Viridiplantae; Streptophyta; Magnoliopsida; Poales; Poaceae.
AUGCGUCUAUUUAACGACUGCAUUGCGGACCUUGCGCUCCGUGAGAUAGCCCGCGUAGGGGCUAAGUUUACGUUGAUGAAUAAGCAGGCGGACCCCAUCCGGAGUGUGUUAGAUCGGAUCUUUGUGUCGGCUCAGUGGGAGGUGAUGUUCCCAUUGUGCUCCCUCAAGGCCAUGAAGGGCUGGGGGGCGAACCUUGGUGCUGACCUCCGGGCCCCUAAAGGGGCCCUGCUGGAUCAAAUUAAGGUGUUGGAUGACCUUGCUGACGGGCAGGGCUUGUCUCCUGACGACUGGCUUAGGAGAUACGCCCUCGAGGCCUCGCUCAUGGACAUUUACAAGAGCGAGGAGCUGUUCUGGCAGCGUCGAGGGGGCCAGAACUGGCUUCUUAAGGGGGAUGCGAACACUGCCUACUUUCAGGUGAUUGCUAAUGGCCGCAGGUGGAAGUGUGCCAUCCCUUUCCUCUGGGAUGGAGAUGUUCUUCUGGAAAGCCCAGAGGACAUCUCCAUGCAUAUUUACUCCUUUUAUAAAGAGUUGUUCUCGACUGAGUAG